CGGCGUCACGAGUGGCAAUCACAUUUAUUGGGUCUAAAGCGUUCGUAGCCGGUUUGGUAAAUCUUUUGUGAAAUUGUCGGGCUUAACUCGACAGCGUGCAGAAGACACUACUAGACUUGAGACCGGGAGGGGUUAGAAGUAUUUCAGGGGGAGCGGUAAAAUGUUAUAAUCCCUGAAGGACUACCAAUGGCGAAGGCAUCUAACCAGAACGGAUCUGACGGUGAGGAACGAAGGCCAGGGGAGCGAACCGGAUUAGAUACCCGCGUAGUCC
This 271-nucleotide ribosomal RNA is filed under the name uncultured archaeon. Its description in RNAcentral is "partial 16S ribosomal RNA". It matches the Rfam family "Archaeal small subunit ribosomal RNA", at positions 477 to 747 of the family's 1478-position model. The record is from RNAcentral.